GAGUUUGAUCCUGGCUCAGAUUGAACGCUGGCGGCAGGCCUAACACAUGCAAGUCGAGCGGUAACAGAGAGUAGCUUGCUACUCUGCUGACGAGCGGCGGACGGGUGAGUAAUGCUUGGGAAUGUACCUUAUGGUGGGGGACAACAGUUGGAAACGACUGCUAAUACCGCAUAAUGUCUUCGGACCAAAGCGGGGGACCUUCGGGCCUCGCGCCAUAAGAUCAGCCCAAGUGGGAUUAGCUAGUUGGUGAGGUAAUGGCUCACCAAGGCGACGAUCCCUAGCUGGUUUGAGAGGAUGAUCAGCCACACUGGGACUGAGACACGGCCCAGACUCCUACGGGAGGCAGCAGUGGGGAAUAUUGCACAAUGGGCGCAAGCCUGAUGCAGCCAUGCCGCGUGUGUGAAGAAGGCCUUCGGGUUGUAAAGCACUUUCAGUAAGGAGGAAAGGUUGGAUGUUAAUAGCAUUCAGCUGUGACGUUACUUACAGAAGAAGCACCGGCUAACUCCGUGCCAGCAGCCGCGGUAAUACGGAGGGUGCGAGCGUUAAUCGGAAUUACUGGGCGUAAAGCGUACGCAGGCGGUUUGUUAAGCGAGAUGUGAAAGCCCCGGGCUCAACCUGGGAACUGCAUUUCGAACUGGCAAACUAGAGUGUGAUAGAGGGUGGUAGAAUUUCAGGUGUAGCGGUGAAAUGCGUAGAGAUCUGAAGGAAUACCGAUGGCGAAGGCAGCCACCUGSGUCAACACUGACGCUGAGGUACGAAAGCGUGSGGAGCGAACAGGAUUAGAUACCCUGGUAGUCCACGCCGUAAACGAUGAGUAUUUGGUGCUGGGGGAUUCGACCCUUUCAGUGCCGUAGCUAACGCGAUAAAUACUCCGCCUGGGGACUACGAUCGCAAGAUUGAAACUCAAAGGAAUUGACGGGGACCCGCACAAGCGGUGGAACAUGUGGUUUAAUUCGAUGAUACGCGAAGAACCUUACCUGGGUUUGACAUGUCAGAGAAAGUUUUCCGAAAGGAAAUCCUUUUAAUAAUUUAUUAUUAAACUCUGUCACAGGUGAUGCAUGGCUGUCGUCAGCUCGUGUCGUGAGAUGUUAGGUUAAGUCCUGCAACGAGCGCAACCCCUAUAUUUAGUUGCCAGCACAUAAUGGUGGGGACUCUAAAUAGACUGCCCGGAAUAACCGGGAGGAAGGUGGGGAUGAUGUCAAGUCAGUAUGUCCCUUAUACCCAGGGCUACACACGUGUUACAAUGGAUGGUACAAAAAGUAGCAAUUCCGCGAGGAGGAGCCAAUCUUUAAAACUAUCCCCAGUUCAGAUUGAAGUCUGAAAUUCGACCUCAUGAAGCAGGAAUCGCUAGUAAUCGUAGGUCAGCACACUACGGUGAAUACGUUCCCGGGUCUUGUACACACCGCCCGUCAAGUCAUGGAAGUCUGCAGUACCCAAAGAUAGUAUUCUAACCGCAAGGAGGAAGCUGUUUAAGGUAAGGCAGGUAACUAGGACUAAGUCGUAACAAGGUAGCCGUACCGGAAGGUGCGGCUGGAUCACCUCCUUUCU
Molecule: ribosomal RNA, 1548 nt
Filed under: uncultured organism
Description: partial 16S ribosomal RNA
Rfam family: Bacterial small subunit ribosomal RNA
Source: RNAcentral